UUGCCCUAGUAACGGCGAGUGAAGCGGCAACAGCUCAAAUUUGAAAUCUGGCUCUCGGGCCCGAGUUGUAAUUUGUAGAGGAUGAUUUUGGCGCGGUGCCUUCCGAGUUCCCUGGAACGGGACGCCUUAGAGGGUGAGAGCCCCGUACGGUUGGACACUAAGCCUCUGUAAAUCUCCUUCGACGAGUCGAGUAGUUUGGGAAUGCUGCUCUAAAUGGGAGGUAAAUUUCUUCUAAAGCUAAAUACCGGCCAGAGACCGAUAGCGCACAAGUAGAGUGAUCGAAAGAUGAAAAGCACUUUGAAAAGAGGGUUAAAUAGCACGUGAAAUUGUUGAAAGGGAAGCAUUUACUACCAGACCUUUGCCCUGCGGAUCAUGUGGUGUUCUCACCGCUGCACUUCGCUUGGUUUAGGCCAGCAUCGGUUUUUGUAGGGGGAUAAAAGCCUUAGGAACGUAGCUCCCUCGGGAGUGUUAUAGCCUUUUGCAUAAUA
RNAcentral lists this ribosomal RNA (488 nucleotides) under Xylariaceae sp. 8Ci5_1. RNAcentral describes it as "eukaryotic LSU rRNA". It matches the Rfam family "Eukaryotic large subunit ribosomal RNA", at positions 75 to 573 of the family's 3401-position model. Lineage: Eukaryota; Fungi; Ascomycota; Sordariomycetes; Xylariales; Xylariaceae. The record is from RNAcentral.